GACGAACGCUGGCGGCGUGCUUAACACAUGCAAGUCGAACGGAAAGGCCCUGCUUUUGUGGGGUGCUCGAGUGGCGAACGGGUGAGUAACACGUGGGUAACCUGCCCUUGACUUUGGGAUAACUUCAGGAAACUGGGGCUAAUACCGGAUAGGAGCUCCUGCUGCAUGGUGGGGGUUGGAAAGUUUCGGCGGUUGGGGAUGGACUCGCGGCUUAUCAGCUUGUUGGUGGGGUAGUGGCUUACCAAGGCUUUGACGGGUAGCCGGCCUGAGAGGGUGACCGGCCACAUUGGGACUGAGAUAGGGCCCAGACUCCUACGGGAGGCAGCAGUGGGGAAUAUUGCACAAUGGGCGGAAGCCUGAUGCAGCAACGCCGCGUGCGGGAUGACGGCCUUCGGGUUGUAAACCGCUUUCGCCUGUGACGAAGCGUGAGUGACGGUAAUGGGUAAAGAAGCACCGGCUAACUACGUG
Molecule: ribosomal RNA, 468 nt
Filed under: uncultured bacterium
Lineage: Bacteria
Description: partial 16S ribosomal RNA
Rfam family: Bacterial small subunit ribosomal RNA
Source: RNAcentral